CACACUUCUAUUAUGUAUUCGAGUCUUUGAUUGACUUGUGAAAUCACGGAACAUAAUACCCGAGAUUCGCUGUUUUGGUGAAACCAUUAUCUCGGUCAAUUUUCAAAAUUACUUAAGCAAAAUUUAAAAAGAGGGGAAAUUGUACGCUACUUCUGUGUAAUCGGAACCCUAGUUGACUGAAGAAAUCACUAAAACGGUGAUUAAAAAAGGGAGCAAAUAACAAGAAGAUUCUGGCGUUUGAAAAUUUUGUGUCAUUAGCAUACGGUCUUGUUCAGCUUAUUACAGUGCUUCUUAAGAGUGCUAAUAUUAUCUUUUUUAGCAUGGAAACGAACUUUUGGUUCAUCCACGAAAUCAUGAUUAAAACGUGAUUACGGUUUUUGGUGUUCCCAUGUCCAACUUGGCUUGGAUGGGGUAUUGCAGGCGCACUACCAUCACGCCUGAUGCAACGUGAACAUGCGUAAAUGUUAAGAUAUGUCGACAAUCGUUACGAUGUUCAUCGCAAAUAAUUUUCAAGACUAAUGCUUACCUUUACAUGGAAGUCAACUGUAUCCAAAGACGAAUUGUUCUUCCAAUGCAAUCUUCAGCUAUUCAAAGCAUCUCCUUCAAGUUACCUUUAAACUUUUCCGGCAUUAGGUAAUCAUCAACGCAUAUAAAAAUCGUUCCAGUUUCCUACUUGGAUUGACUUUGUACUCACAGUACAAAAAACUGCUACGUGCAUGAAUACAUCGUUCGAAGUAAGAUAUUCAGUUAUUGUAUAGAAUUGGGGAGAAAGAAUAGCAAUAAUAAUAAUUCAGCUAAUGAUAUCUGUUUUACUCAGCAAAACUGCCUAAUUUGACUAUAAUCGUUUGAAUCGGAAGACUAUUCCAUGGCAGUGUUAAUGACGUUCCUGCGAAAUGCUGAUGUACUUUACUACGUUACUGCUAUAAGUUCAAGUUAAAAAACUUUUCCUAUUUCUUGAUGUUUGGUUUUUAUUUGCAUCUGCAACUUUUGUAAAAGCAAAA
Molecule: long non-coding RNA, 1001 nt
Organism: Glossina fuscipes
Lineage: Eukaryota; Metazoa; Arthropoda; Insecta; Diptera; Glossinidae
Exons: 4
Source: RefSeq, a predicted model, not a curated record